CCUGGCGGCCAUAGCGCCGUGGAACCACCUGAUCCCAUGCCGAACUCAGAAGUGAAACGCGGUAGCGCCGAUGGUAGUGUGGCAUUCGCCAUGC
This 94-nucleotide ribosomal RNA is filed under the name Aeromonas hydrophila. The record is from RNAcentral. Lineage: Bacteria; Pseudomonadati; Pseudomonadota; Gammaproteobacteria; Aeromonadales; Aeromonadaceae. RNAcentral also lists the same sequence under 6 other names.